RNAcentral lists this unclassified non-coding RNA (405 nucleotides) under soil metagenome. RNAcentral's name for it is "partial contains 5.8S ribosomal RNA, internal transcribed spacer 2, and large subunit ribosomal RNA". The stretch from base 1 to 121 matches the Rfam family "5.8S ribosomal RNA", at positions 35 to 154 of the family's 154-position model. The record is from RNAcentral.
GAUGAAGAACGCAGUGAAAUGCGAUAAGUAAUGUGAAUUGCAGAAUUCAGUGAAUCAUCGAAUCUUUGAACGCACCUUGCGCCCUUUGGCCAUUCCGAAGGGCAUGCCUGUUUGAGUAUCAUGAACACCUCAACUCUUCAUGGUUUUCCAUGAUGAGCUUGGACUUUGGGGGUCUUGCUGGCCUGUGGGUCGGCUCCUCUCAAAUGAAUCAGCUUGCCGGUUUUUGGUGGGCAUCACAGGUGUGAUAACUAUCUACGCUUGUGGUUUUCCACCAGGGUAACCUUCAGCAGUGGAGGUUCACUGGAGCUUACAAAUGUCUCUCCUCUGUGAGGACAGCCCUUUGAAUGUUUGAUCUCAAAUCAGGUAGGACUACCCGCUGAACUUAAGCAUAUCAAUAGCGGAGGA